Leptinotarsa decemlineata (Colorado potato beetle) is the source of this 603-nucleotide long non-coding RNA. RefSeq lists it as uncharacterized. The record is from RefSeq and is a predicted model, not a curated record. NCBI's taxonomy places the organism in Eukaryota, Metazoa, Arthropoda, Insecta, Coleoptera, Chrysomelidae.
AAAAUACCAUCAUUCGUUCAAUAGUAUUUAUUCAAGCGUUUGAAAUGAAUAUAAAUUCAAGGAGAACUGAGUCAGGUGCUUUUGUUUUGAUCCGUUCUGGUCAGUUGUUUUGUGAGCAUCAUCUCGAAUACAUUACAGAUCAACCAUGAAGUACUCAGUGUUCAUGUGCUUCCUCACCGUUGUAUCAAUCACAAUCGCCGACGAACUCACAGACUGCAAAUGUUGGAAGGGGUAUGAGCCUCAUAAAGAUCCAGAGGGUGUGAAAUGUUAUGGAGUUCUGCUCUUGCAUACCAGACCAUGCAACGAACCAGAGAGGCCAAUAUGCAAAUGUUCCGGGAAUGUAACCGGUAUAGUUUCAGAUACUACCGGUUUGUGGUGUUCAGAGUAUUCCGAAGGAGAGGAGAAAAGGAGGUGGGCGUGUGAGAACAAGGAGGAAUGGAAUAAGUUCUACGAGGAGAAUCCAAGCGAGAAGCCUUGAAGGAUAUGACAGAAGUGGAAGAAUAAGAAUGUUAUACGUUUACUCAUUUCAGUCAAAGUAUUGCUUCUAUUGACGCAAUGCUUGUGACUAGACUGUUGCUUGAAUAAAGAACUGAUUUUCUGUAA